UACGUAGGGUGCAAGCGUUAAUCGGAAUUACUGGGCGUAAAGCGUGCGUAGACGGUUACAUAAGUCGGGUGUGAAAGCCCCGGGCUCAACCUGGGAAUUGCAUUCGAGACUGCGUAGCUAGGGUGCGGAAGAGGGAAGCGGAAUUUCCGGUGUAGCGGUGAAAUGCGUAGAUAUCGGAAGGAACACCAGUGGCGAAAGCGGCUUCCUGGUCCAGCACCGACGUCAGGCACGAAAGCGUGGGGAGCAAACAGG
This 252-nucleotide ribosomal RNA is filed under the name uncultured bacterium. Its description in RNAcentral is "partial 16S ribosomal RNA". It matches the Rfam family "Bacterial small subunit ribosomal RNA", at positions 524 to 776 of the family's 1533-position model. The record is from RNAcentral.